Molecule: small RNA, 176 nt
Filed under: Actinoplanes utahensis
Lineage: Bacteria; Bacillati; Actinomycetota; Actinomycetes; Micromonosporales; Micromonosporaceae
Description: c-di-AMP sequence
Rfam family: c-di-AMP riboswitch aptamer (ydaO/yuaA leader) (bases 44-176)
About the family: This family represents a conserved RNA structure found upstream of the ydaO and yuaA genes in Bacillus subtilis and related genes in other bacteria.
Source: RNAcentral
ACGAGUCAUGAGGCAAUCGGGGGCAGGGACGGGGAACCCACAUAUCGACCCUCGGCCGGCCCGCCCUUCACGGUGGCCGGACCGGAGAGUCUCGGGGUGAAGCCGCGACCAGCGGCCGGGCAAUCCUUCGCGCCCGAACCCGACAGCUAACCCCGCAGGCGUGCCGGAGGGAUUCC